GACAAACGCUGGCGGCAUGCCUAACACAUGCAAGUCGAACGGACAGAACAGGGAAGCUUUUCGGAGUGGAACUGGAAAGUUAGUGGCGGAUGGGUGAGUAACGCGUGGACAACCUACCUUGUAAAGGGGAAUAACCUCGAGAAAUCGAAGCUAAUACCCCAUAAUAACCUUGCUUCGCAUGAAGUAAGGAGGAAAGGCGGCCUUAGCGCUGUCGAUACAAGAUGGGUCCGCGUCUGAUUAGCUAGUUGGUGAGGUAAAGGCUCACCAAGGCGACGAUCAGUAGCCGGCCUGAGAGGGUGAACGGCCACAUUGGGACUGGGACACGGGCCAAACUCCUACGGGAGGCAGCAGUGGGGAAUCUUGCGCAAUGGGCGAAAGCCUGAUGGAGCAAUGGCGCGUGAGUGAAGAAGGCCUUCGGGUUGUAAAACUCUGUCCGUAUCGAAGAGGGAUUGUUGUAGUAAUUGACAAUACUAGGACGGUAGAUGAGGAGGAAGCCCCGGCUAACUAUGUG
This 511-nucleotide ribosomal RNA is filed under the name uncultured bacterium. RNAcentral's name for it is "partial 16S ribosomal RNA". It matches the Rfam family "Bacterial small subunit ribosomal RNA", at positions 28 to 507 of the family's 1533-position model. The record is from RNAcentral.